Molecule: ribosomal RNA, 465 nt
Filed under: uncultured bacterium
Lineage: Bacteria
Description: partial 16S ribosomal RNA
Source: RNAcentral
GACUACUGGGGUAUCUAAUCCUGUUUGAUCCCCACACUUUCGCACCUCAGCGUCAGUCAUCGGCCAGGAGCUUGCCUUCGCCAUUGGUAUUCUUCCUGAUCUCUACAGAUUUCACCCCUACACCAGGAAUUCUAGCUCCCUCUCCGUGACUCAAGCCCUGCAGUUCCCGACGCAAUCCACCGGUUAAGCCGGUGACUUUCACGCCAGGCUUACAAGGCCGCCUACAUGCCCUUUACGCCCAGUAAUUCCGAACAACGCUCGCCCCCUACGUGUUACCGCGGCUGCUGGCACGUAGUUAGCCGGGGCUUAUUCGUCGGUUCAUGUCAUCACGCGGGCAUUCCCUCCCGCGCUUAUUCUUCCCCAACAAAAGGACUUUACAACCUUUCGGCCUUCUUCAUCCACGCGGCGUCGCUCCGUCAGACUUUCGUCCAUUGCGGAAUAUUCCUCACUGCAGCCACCCGUAGG